This 810-nucleotide ribosomal RNA is filed under the name Clostridioides difficile. RNAcentral's name for it is "bacterial SSU rRNA". It matches the Rfam family "Bacterial small subunit ribosomal RNA", at positions 1 to 841 of the family's 1533-position model. Lineage: Bacteria; Bacillati; Bacillota; Clostridia; Peptostreptococcales; Peptostreptococcaceae. The record is from RNAcentral.
UUUUAUUUGAGAGUUUGAUCCUGGCUCAGGAUGAACGCUGGCGGCGUGCCUAACACAUGCAAGUUGAGCGAUUUACUUCGGUAAAGAGCGGCGGACGGGUGAGUAACGCGUGGGUAACCUACCCUGUACACACGGAUAACAUACCGAAAGGUAUGCUAAUACGGGAUAAUAUAUUUGAGAGGCAUCUCUUAAAUAUCAAAGGUGAGCCAGUACAGGAUGGACCCGCGUCUGAUUAGCUAGUUGGUAAGGUAACGGCUUACCAAGGCGACGAUCAGUAGCCGACCUGAGAGGGUGAUCGGCCACAUUGGAACUGAGACACGGUCCAAACUCCUACGGGAGGCAGCAGUGGGGAAUAUUGCACAAUGGGCGAAAGCCUGAUGCAGCAACGCCGCGUGAGUGAUGAAGGCCGUCGGGUCGUAAAACUCUGUCCUCAAGGAAGAUAAUGACGGUACUUGAGGAGGAAGCCCCGGCUAACUACGUGCCAGCAGCCGCGGUAAUACGUAGGGGGCUAGCGUUAUCCGGAUUUACUGGGCGUAAAGGGUGCGUAGGCGGUCUUUCAAGUCAGGAGUGAAAGGCUACGGCUCAACCGUAGUAAGCUCUUGAAACUGGGAGACUUGAGUGCAGGAGAGGAGAGUGGAAUUCCUAGUGUAGCGGUGAAAUGCGUAGAUAUUAGGAGGAACACCAGUUGCGAAGGCGGCUCUCUGGACUGUAACUGACGCUGAGGCACGAAAGCGUGGGGAGCAAACAGGAUUAGAUACCCUGGUAGUCCACGCUGUAAACGAUGAGUACUAGGUGUCGGGGGUUACCCCC